CUUGAAAGAAUGCAGCAUACUGCCUUGCUCCAACGACUUUUUAAAAGAGGCAGGACCAUCUGCCUAUAGAUGGCACCACUCAAAUUGGCCUCAAUGUGCACCCUCGAAUGAAUCAAGAAAAUUUCCUCAUAGACAUGCCUACCGUCUUAUGAAGGCAUUUCCUCAAUUGAGGCUGCCUCUUCCCAGGUUACCAUAUGCUGCAGAAUCCUAUGUAAUAUACGAUUGAUAAUUAUUUGAGAAGGACAUCCUCCAGGGAAAAGAUGGCUGGAGUUAGCGCAACAGAGUUAGUAAAGGUAGAUUGAGUGGUCAACAAGGUGGCAGGAGCAGCCUGUCUUUACUGCACCAGCUCUGGAGUUACAGAUACACA
Molecule: long non-coding RNA, 367 nt
Filed under: Cricetulus griseus (Chinese hamster)
Lineage: Eukaryota; Metazoa; Chordata; Mammalia; Rodentia; Cricetidae
Description: lncRNA (ENSCGRG00015030771.1)
Source: RNAcentral